GAAACAGCCCCCAGUUCACUCCAUUGCUAGCCAAUCACGUAGAGGGAUCGGAUCACCCGCCUCUGCGCAUCCCUUGAUGGCUUGCUCUCCCUCUUCCCGGAGGUGUUGGUCGCUCCAAUCACAGCUCGCGCGUGAGGCUCCGCCCACAGCCUCAAGUGCCUUCAGUCUACGAAGGUUCCGCAGGCGCGCGGGCUGGCGCGGUUCCCCGCCGGCUACUUUGGGAUAGGAGUUUCGGAAGGCGUCUGGAUGGCCUCCCAGGCCUUCCGCCCUCGGCGCUCUCCGAGGUCUCCGAGGCCAGUGUCCUGCCUCUCCCUCCCUGUGCCCACGCUGGGUGUGUAAUAAACGGGGAGGGUUCUGGCUCGAAGCGAUUGCCGGCGUGUGGUCACCUCCUCCGUGGGAUCCCCGGGCCAGUCCUCCGGUGCAGAAGCUACGUUUGCCUGGAGGCAAGGGGGCCUCACCACUGCAUGCCUUUUCCUGCGUCUUAUACCUCCUGGACCACACCCUCCGAGAGACUGGGGUAGUCCUGGAAUGUGGGUCCUCGGAAAUCUGGGAGUUCCGAUACUGGCCAAGGCCGAAACCAUGUCAUGAAAUGAGAUGCCAGAAUAAUCUUCCUCAGGUGCGAUUUUCAACGGUCAACUAAGAACCAUUAGUGGUGGCUUUGCCAUGGGUGUCAAGUCUCAAGAAUUACCCCAGACUCCUUUAUUUACAGCCCCACCUCAAUAUUUAUCAGUCCUCUAGUCCUGUUUUCUGGAACAAACGUUUAAGUCUGUCAUUUUCCCUCUUGAUUAGAUCCCUACCCAGUUUAUUGUAGUUCCUUAACUAUAGAAACCUCUUUUUUUUCUGGGAAGAAGAGAUAAGAGUAUAGGGAAAAGAAAGUUACUAUUUAUCAGUCAUUCACUAUAUGCCAAGCAUGUCCUUUCAUAUAGUCUUCCUAAUAAUUCUGAGAUCAGUAAAUACUAUUGGCAUUUAAAGGAUGAAAAUGAAGCUCAGAGAACUUAAGUACCGUGUACAAGUCGUAGAGUCAGGAUUCCUAUCUGGUAUGUCUGAUACCCAAAGGCUGUGUUUUUGCACUAGGCCAGUGUUUCUCAACUGGUCAUCUCCCCCCCCCCCCCCCCCACAUUAGCACCCACCAAGUUAAUUAAAUUAAAAUUCUUUCUGAUUAGAGAAAUUAAAUAUUAGGGAAUAAGAUUUUGUCAGGUAGGGUUGAGUUUUGAAAGCCGCACACCAUUGUAUUAUCUAACUUUUUUGGCACCCAUUAAGAAUCUCUUUUCACCCAGAAUAAAAUGCAAUCUUUGUCACCAUUUGAGGAUAUCACUCUGUUGAGACUGAGUGUAAUAGGCUUAUGCUGGAGGUCAUAGUCUGCCAAUAUGAGGCUUAGAUUUGACCUUUAAUUUUAUUGACCUGAGAUAAAUCCUUUUUUAAAAAGACACAUUUAUGCCAGUAGAAAUAGGUACCUGCUUCAUGGUCUGUAUCCAAAGGUCUAUUCAGCAGCUUCUCUUGGACUCCCAUUGCAUCUAGUACUUAGUUCAUCAAAGCACUUGGUCUACUCUACUGUAGUUGACUUUAAGUAAGCAUCAAGACAGGAACUGUCAUUCAAAUGAGCAUGCCUAGCAUCUUUCAUAGCACAUU
Molecule: long non-coding RNA, 1629 nt
Organism: Phyllostomus discolor (pale spear-nosed bat)
Lineage: Eukaryota; Metazoa; Chordata; Mammalia; Chiroptera; Phyllostomidae
Exons: 2
Source: RefSeq, a predicted model, not a curated record